Non-coding RNA from Phrynosoma platyrhinos (Desert horned lizard), 69 nucleotides. The record is from the annotation of a GenBank genome assembly. NCBI's taxonomy places the organism in Eukaryota, Metazoa, Chordata, Lepidosauria, Squamata, Phrynosomatidae.
GCCAGCAUGGCGUAGUGGUUUGAGCAUUGACUAUGACUCUGCAGACAAGGGUUCGAAUCCCUGCUUGCC